Molecule: ribosomal RNA, 253 nt
Filed under: uncultured bacterium
Lineage: Bacteria
Description: partial 16S ribosomal RNA
Rfam family: Bacterial small subunit ribosomal RNA
Source: RNAcentral
GACGUAGGGUGCAAGCGUUGUCCGGAAUUAUUGGGCGUAAAGAGCUCGUAGGCGGUUUGUUGCGUCGGCUGUGAAAUCCCGAGGCUCAACCUCGGGUCUGCAGUCGAUACGAGCAAACUAGAGUGUUGCAGGGGAGACUGGAAUUCCUGGUGUAGCGGUGAAAUGCGCAGAUAUCAGGAGGAACACCGGUGGCGAAGGCGGCUCUCUGGACCACAACUGACGCUGAGGCGCGAAAGCUAGGGGAGCAAACAGG